Cucumis sativus (cucumber) is the source of this 1678-nucleotide long non-coding RNA. RefSeq lists it as uncharacterized. Lineage: Eukaryota; Viridiplantae; Streptophyta; Magnoliopsida; Cucurbitales; Cucurbitaceae. The transcript has 2 exons. The record is from RefSeq and is a predicted model, not a curated record.
CCCCGGUUUAUUACUGUGGGUUUGGAUUAUAAUAACCCAAACCCACAUUUGGGGCCCGUAUAAUGGAAACCCUAGGUUUAGGAAUCUUACUGUUUGGUAUGUUUCUAAUCUCCUUCCAUAUUGUCCAUCCAUAUUAUUUAAACUAUACGUCUAUGAACCCUAAUUUCUAUUAUAUUGUUUAAAUUUUCCCCAUCCCUGUUUCAACAUACAUCCGUGUUUGCCAUGUUUCUAAUCUCCUUCCAUAUUGCCCAUCCAUAUUGUUUAAAUUAUGCUUCUGUGAACCCUAAUUUCGGUUAUAUUGUUUAAAUUUUCCCAUCCCUGUUUCAAUAUACGUCCUUGUUUGUCAUGUUUCUAAUCUCCUUCCAUUUUGCCCAUUCAUAUUGUUUAAAUUAUACUUCUGUGAACCCUAAUUUCCUGUUAUAUUGUUUAAAUUUUCCUCAUCCCUGUUAACUCAUAUGUCCCUGUUUGUCAUGUUUCUAAUUUGUUUUGUUGGUUUCACUUUGUUGUUGCUACUGUGUCUAAUCUGAACACAUUUUGUACCAUUUUUUUAAUAUUAUCCCUCAUAAAUAUGUUGACAUAUUUAUUUAUUUGACACUUUGACUAUGUUCACACUUCCCACUUACUUGCAAUCAAUAUGACUUUUGAAUUUGCUUUGCUGAGAAGUCUUUUCUCUUUACUUGCAAGCAAUUGUUCUGUUUCUUUCUCUUUAUUUCUAAGCAAAUCUCAUCCAUCCAUCCAUUAAUAUGCACUGUCUGUGUUCAUUUUAUUUUUUGGUUAUCUAUUUGUCUACUCAUAGCUUAUUUUUAUCUUAGUUGUAGGUUUUGACCAUUUUCUUCCCUUUUCUGUACACUUCUGUAAUUUGCAGAGAUUUUUUUUUUUUUUUUUGUAUGAGUGAAUAAAGGCAUACUUUAUUCACCCUCUAACCCUCUAUAUAUACCACUUCUUUUGUUGUAUUUUAUUGUGUUGUUUUCCUUGCUUUCUCCUAUGUGCUUUCUUUAUUUGGUAUGUAACUUAACUUUGUUUUCUUCAUUUGAACUUCUAUUUCGCCUUCUUUUUUCUUUUGUCAUAUCUAUGUUAAGUAGAUUAUGUUAUGUUUAAAGCAUAUUUGUGGGCUAUUACUUUCUUCUUUUUGUGAAGAGUAUACCUUCUUAUACACAAACUUAGGCACGGCCAUAACAUACUUUUCAUGAUUUUCUUGAUCUCUUCUCAUGUCCACUGUCCAUAUUCAGUUCAAGUAAUGUUGAUGUUUUGUGACUCUUUCAUAUAUGUUUUAUGUGUCGAUGUUUUAUGCUUAUUUGGUUGCAUUUGUAUAGCUAUAUAUGUUUUGCUGCGCAUCCUAUUGUUGCUUCUUUUUGUAUUCUUGUUUGUAAUAAUUGAUCAAGUUCGUUACACCGAACGAAUUCAAUUUCUCUGAAGCACAACGUUUCUUUAAAUAACACGGCCUAAAUUGCUCAUUCAUUUUAAUCAAUCUUCUUUUUUCAAUUUCACCUUGGCAUUCCUCCAAACAAUACGGAUAUCCAACUUCCUACUUCGUUCGUCAGAGGUACGAGGCAUUGGCGCUGUAUAUUGUACUACUUUAUUUUCAAAUAUUGUCAGUUAAUACUUUUGCAUUCUUCCAUAUUGUACUUCAGAAUUUAGUGACCAUAUUCGGUAAUAAAGAAUUCUCUUUUUUUUUUCA